CAGAAGUUUUUAAUUUCGUUAUCCGUUCGACCAGGCAGAUUCGCGGCAAUGGCUGACCACCUGCAGGCCUCAGGUAGUUUAUCCAACGGAGUCUGCAACUCUUCCCGCAUCGCAGAAGGCCUAAAGAAAGAAAAUGCAGAAAGAGAUUAUAUCAAAAGGAACUCACCAGCAAGCUUGGGAAGGGCACGCCAGUUGCUAUGGCCAUGUUCAUUGAUAUAAGAGAUCAAAAUCUGAUCUUCUUCAGCUGUCCA
Molecule: non-coding RNA, 251 nt
Organism: Momordica charantia (bitter melon)
Lineage: Eukaryota; Viridiplantae; Streptophyta; Magnoliopsida; Cucurbitales; Cucurbitaceae
Source: RefSeq, a predicted model, not a curated record